Molecule: ribosomal RNA, 254 nt
Filed under: uncultured bacterium
Lineage: Bacteria
Description: partial 16S ribosomal RNA
Rfam family: Bacterial small subunit ribosomal RNA
Source: RNAcentral
AACGUAGGGUCCAAGCGUUGUCCGGAUUUAUUGGGCGUAAAGAGCUCGUAGGCGGCUCAGUAAGUCGGAUGUGAAAACUCGGGGCUCAACCCCGAGACGCCAUCCGAUACUGCUGUGGCUUGAGUCUGGUAGGGGAACACGGAAUUCCUGGUGUAGCGGUGAAAUGCGUAGAUAUCGGGAGGAACACCAGUGGCGAAGGCGGGCAUCUGGGCCAACACUGACGCUGAGGCGCGAAAGCUAGGGGAGCAAACAGG